GUGAAUAAAAGCCUUCAGUUUCCAUAAUCUUCAUGUUUCCUCUGCGUCAAUAAAACUCGGUGCAUAAAAAUUCAUCCAUGCAUAGAAAAUCUCCCUAAAACACACGCACACAAUAUAUACACACGCGAUGAUACAUAAUACAGGUACAGAUACAGAGCUGAAAGUGGCGGUAACCCUUCUCAGACACAUCACAGUCCAUUAAUCUGUGGUAUAUUCCGUUGAUCCGAACACCAAAUAGUCUGAAUAUAAUGCCAAUGGGAAAUUAGGAACACUCUUAAACAACAGUGAGUUAUUUAAGAUAGGAAAUUAUAAAAAAAAGGUUGAAUUUGUGAAGGCAGAAAAAUAUGAACCCUAGAAAAAGUCUGAAUAUAAUGCUAAUGGGAAAUUAGGAACACUCUUAAACAACAGUGAGUUAUUUAAGAUAGGAAAUUAUAUAAAAAAAUGAAAAGAAGGUUGAAUUUGUGAAGGCAGAAAAAUAUGAACUUAGAAAAAGUCUGAAUAUAAUGCCAAUGGGAAAUUAUGAACAUUCUUAAAGAAGUCUGAAUUAUUAGAGGUAGGAAAUUAUAUAAAAAAAUGAAAAGAAGGUUGAAUUUGUGAGGGCAGCAAAAUAUGAACCCUAGCAGUUUUUGGAAGCAGGAAAUAACUCUGAAAAGGCACGAAAAAAUAAACUAAAAAAAAAAGGUCUUAAUAUGUGAAGGUAAGUAAUAAUUAUAUAAACCUUAGAGAAGAUGUUUUUAGAAGGCAGAAAAUUACAAUCAUCCUCAAAAACAAGUCUGAAUUAUUUAAGAUUUGAAAUUAUAUAAAAAAAACUGCAAAAA
Molecule: long non-coding RNA, 818 nt
Organism: Eriocheir sinensis (Chinese mitten crab)
Lineage: Eukaryota; Metazoa; Arthropoda; Malacostraca; Decapoda; Varunidae
Exons: 2
Source: RefSeq, a predicted model, not a curated record